CCUACGGGUGGCAGCAGUGGGGAAUAUUGCACAAUGGGGGAAACCCUGAUGCAGCGACGCCGCGUGAGUGAAGAAGUAUUUCGGUAUGUAAAGCUCUAUCAGCAGGGAAGAAAAUGACGGUACCUGAUUAAGAAGCCCCGGCUAACUCCGUGCCAGCAGCCGCGGUAAUACGGAGGAUGCGAGCGUUAUCCGGAUUUAUUGGGUUUAAAGGGUGCGCAGGCGGCCUGUUAAGUCAGCGGUAAAAGCCCGGGGCUCAACCCCGGCGAGCCGUUGAAACUGGCGGGCUGGAGUUGGAGAGAAGUACGCGGAAUGCGCGGUGUAGCGGUGAAAUGCUUAGAUAUCGCGCAGAACCCCGAUUGCGAAGGCAGCGUACCGGCUCCACACUGACGCUGAGGCACGAAAGCGUGGGUAUCGAACAGGAUUAGAUACCCUGGUAGUC
Molecule: ribosomal RNA, 439 nt
Filed under: uncultured bacterium
Lineage: Bacteria
Description: partial 16S ribosomal RNA
Rfam family: Bacterial small subunit ribosomal RNA
Source: RNAcentral